RNAcentral lists this ribosomal RNA (253 nucleotides) under uncultured bacterium. RNAcentral describes it as "partial 16S ribosomal RNA". It matches the Rfam family "Bacterial small subunit ribosomal RNA", at positions 524 to 776 of the family's 1533-position model. The record is from RNAcentral.
UACGUAGGGACCGAGCGUUGUCCGGAAUCAUUGGGCGUAAAGAGCGUGUAGGCGGCUUGCUAAGUCUUGCGUGAAAUCUCGGGGCUCAACCCCGAGCGGUCGUGGGAAACUGGCAGGCUAGAGUGCGGGAGAGGAGAAUGGAAUUCCUGGUGUAGCGGUGAAAUGCGUAGAUAUCGGAAGGAACACCAGUGGCGAAGGCGGCUUCCUGGACUAAUACUGACGCUGAGGUGCGAAAGCGUGGGGAGCAAACAGG